AAUUUUGACUAGUUUUAUUAUUAACAAAUCAAAAAGAAAAAGCUAUCAUUUUUCUCUUCUCCUUCACCGAAAUAUGCAGCAAAGAAAGGGCUUUGAAGCUGGAAAAUUUCAGCAACAUAUUUCCCUUGCUUAUGAUGAAAAUCGAGAUUUGGACCUAGAACGGAAAGAAAUCGAUUAAGGGAUAAUUACGUCUUUUUUUUUUCACCUUUGUGGUAUCGAGAUCAAGAACAAAGGAAAUCGGACUUAGAUCGGGGAAAAACAAAAAUAGUCGAAUAGCUGAUUUGUAACGUCCGUCGAUAUCCGAGAUUUUGGUUGUAAGUU
Gossypium arboreum is the source of this 321-nucleotide long non-coding RNA. RefSeq lists it as uncharacterized. The record is from RefSeq and is a predicted model, not a curated record. The transcript has 4 exons. NCBI's taxonomy places the organism in Eukaryota, Viridiplantae, Streptophyta, Magnoliopsida, Malvales, Malvaceae.